AACUGGCAAUAGCUUUCUGCACCUUCGCCUUCCAAGCGAAAUAUUAAAUUGUCAAAAU
RNAcentral lists this transfer RNA (58 nucleotides) under Epitrimerus sabinae. Its description in RNAcentral is "tRNA-Gly". The record is from RNAcentral. Lineage: Eukaryota; Metazoa; Arthropoda; Arachnida; Trombidiformes; Eriophyidae.